UUUGUCUCAAAAAAAUACCAAAAACCAAAAACAACAAAAACAAAAAACAUCAAAAGACUAUGAGAAACAGUGAUUGGAUGUUUGGGGUGUGGAUAUCGGAAUCUGGAGCUGGGGACAGGUGUGUCAUUUGAUAGUCCCUUUUGAGAACCACUGUUGAUCUAAAGCUAUUCCAGUUCCCUAGGGGAUUGCUAAUAACCGGUGCAGCUGCUGAGACAGGGAAAGGGGCCUAAUUCCUUUUGCAAAACAAGGAGCAAUAUUUAUAUGAGAACUCAGUACAUUUCAUCACAUAAAAAUUGCAAAACGCCAGGCUCUGUCAUUUUUAAACUAAUAUUUUUGGGAGUCCACCAAACAGUCUCUAAGAUGGAACUGAUUGUGAAUAUGCUGGUGCCAGGUGCAAUGGCUCACACCUGUAAUCCCAGCUACUUGGGAGGCUGAGGUGGGAGGAUCACCUGAAGCCAGGAGUUCGAGGCCAGCCUGGGCCUCUCUAAAAAAAAAAAAGCUGUAAGUCAAAUGAUAUAGCCUCUAGAAGCCACAGUUUGCUCAUUUACAAACUGGAGGAGAAUAAGAUGAGAAUUGUCUGAUAUUGAGGAUCAGAAAGUGCUUCAUGAUGCAUAAAGCAGGUAAUGGAUUAUCAAUGCUUUGCUGCUCAGACACACAGCAAUGGGUUCAUACCAUUCUGAGAGUCUAAAUUUAGGACGUGGUGUGACCAAAAUUACCAGUAAUUAAGUUUCUUAUGUUUCUGAGGCUCUGCUUCCUCAUCUGUACACUGUGGCAAGACCUUGUUCUGACUAUGCACUGAGGAUAAAAUAAGGCCUUUUGAAAAAGAUGAUGACACUGACCACUAAUUAAUGAUUUCAAUGUUCCCGUCCAAGGUCAGGCAAAAGCAAUGCAGAGCCAUAGAGAAUGUUGGUGCAACACUGCCCUCUGCUGGUCAGUAGCAGCACCACCAUGGUUACAGAGAGGAAAAGGUCUUUACAAAGGGAUUCCUGGGAAACUGAGGCAGAGAGUGGAAGGGAUUUGCUCAAGGGCACAGAGUUAGCUUUGGACAAAGUGAUGGCUCGAAUCUGAGAUUCCUAAUUCCUAGUUCUUUCUAGAGGGAGAAAAAUAAGGGCUGGAAACUAGUGGAUUGUCGUUUCACUCUCACUAGGCUCUGCACGGCAUUUUAAAUAGGCUGAUUGGAAUUUCUCUCUCCUGUUCUUCCCUUGCCACCCAAACUGCUCGGGUUUCUUGUCCUUUUCUUCAUACCAGGAUAACCAUCUGUGUGGCCCCAUAAGGCCCAAAGUCCUCUUGGGUGCUGCCGGAGGUCCAACAACCAGUAAAGCACGGAAGCUGGGAUCUGAACACUCACUUGAGACCCCAAGGCCCACAAUCUAUUUGCCACCAAAAAACAAGACAAAGCAAAACACCAUGACAGGAAAACCGAGUUGCAGACAAAUGAAAGUGACUUACCUCAGGGCCUUUGCAUGUGACAUCCUCUCUGCCUGGAAUGCUCUUCUCAGAUAUCACCUUGGCAUCCCCCAUCACCUUCUUAAGGUCUUCACUUAAAAGUCAUCAUCUGGCCGGGCGCGGUGGCUCACCCUGUAAUCUCAGCACUUUGGGUAGGCCAAGGACUGGAUCCUGGACCUGCCCCUGGGACUUGCGGAAGGGGACAGCUCAAUCUGAGCCAUAUCAACUGAGAACACAGGAAGCAUGGUCCUACCAAGAGAUGUCUAUUCCAGGUGGGCAGAACCAAGGUGCCCUCCCUACACCUUCCUGGGGCCUCCAGCGAUCCUGAGCUCAGCCUCCUGACCUGCAGACCCCUCAGCUCUGGCCCUCACGUCCUGCUUGCUGUACCUGCUUUAUCCCAUAUCACCAUCUCCAUUCCUCAGCAUAGUGACAAUCCCAGUUCCUACCCAUUCCACUGGCUUCUCCAUUUGGCUUGGAGCUCUUUAGCUGGAUUGAGACGACUACUCUGAUGAGUGCCAUGUCACUGGCUCAACAAAAUGGGCCCAAGUGAGUCAAUGUCAUUGACAUGAAGGUGCUGUCAGUUUGGUGGGAACCAAGGGAAUGAGACUGUGUUUUAGCUGCGUUCGUUUGAACAGUUACACACUUAGGGCUUCUUAUGCGGAUGCUCAGAGAGAAAUAUGGAAGACGAGAUCUCGUAGAAAACAAGAAGACAUGUUGUAAAUGAGUCAGGCCUCCUGGAGUCCAGGACUAGGGAGGAACUCUUUAUUGAGGAUCACUCGAGGGAGUCUUGGGGCUGGUGGUCUUCACGCCACAGCCCCAUAACUCAGCUCCUCUCUUCCUUCUCUCAGUCUCUCUGCUUCUGUUUUUUGUCUCAUGUCCUAAAUGUCCAACUAUUCAGCAUAACUUUAUUCUGCUUCCCCUCUCUAUCCUCUGUAGCAAAAUGCACUGUUGGAAUUACAUUUUUAUUUUUAUUUUUAUUUU
Molecule: long non-coding RNA, 2427 nt
Filed under: Homo sapiens (human)
Lineage: Eukaryota; Metazoa; Chordata; Mammalia; Primates; Hominidae
Description: HSALNT0371010
Source: RNAcentral